Molecule: long non-coding RNA, 270 nt
Filed under: Hordeum vulgare
Lineage: Eukaryota; Viridiplantae; Streptophyta; Magnoliopsida; Poales; Poaceae
Description: long non-coding RNA (HVUL_LNC010247)
Source: RNAcentral
UCCUACCCAUGCCUAUUCUGUGAGAGAGUGAUUGUGUGCUUAGGAAAAUAUCUUUAGAAGCACAAGAGCAAGCUUGAUAUACCACAUCUAUUACCUUUUGGAGGUUGGUGCCUCAUAGAUUGGUUAGGUGUCGCUUGGUAGCAUCCUACUUCGUGUUGUGGAGUUGAACCAAGAUGUUUGCAAGGGAAAGGAGAUCACCUACUUCACUAAUAGCUACCGUGAGUGAGGCUAGUCCUGUAUGGACGGAAGCCAUGGUGGAAUAAACAAGGC